Non-coding RNA from Lonchura striata (white-rumped munia), 311 nucleotides. The record is from RefSeq and is a predicted model, not a curated record. NCBI's taxonomy places the organism in Eukaryota, Metazoa, Chordata, Aves, Passeriformes, Estrildidae.
CCGGGCUGGAGGCGCCGCCGGAGCCUGCCUUCAGUAACGCAAGAUGGAGUAAACUUAUUUCAAAGACUUGCAAAUUAAUACUGGUUGUCUCCUGUCCUAAGUGCCAUACAAACAUAGAGAAAGAAAUGAUCCCUUCCCUGAAGGUCUUCCCUGAUGAUCUGAAACAAGAAGGAGCUGAUGGAGAUAUACUAAAAUAGGCCUUGCAGGGCUGCCAAGCCGGCUUCCACUUUUGUUAAAUCAGAUGGGUUUUUUGAUGAAUCUGCAGUGGAUGUGGUGGUGUAUUGAGCACUACACGGAGCUAAAACUACUGA